GGCUCAGAACGAACGCUGGCGGCGUGGAUAAGACAUGCAAGUCGAGCGAUGAUCCAACGAUAGCAAUAUUGGAGGGGAUUAGCGGCGAACGGGUGAGUAACACGUAGGAAUCUACCCUGAAGUUCGGAAUAGCCCAACGAGAGUCGGGAUAAUACCGGAUGUGAUCUUCGGAUUAAAGGCUUCGGCCGCUACAGGAUGAGCCUGCGCUCCAUCAGCUUGUUGGUAGGGUAAAAGCCUACCAAGGCGAGGACGGAUAGCUGGUCUGAGAGGACGGCCAGCCACAAUGGAACUGAGACACGGUCCAUACACCUACGGGUGGCAGCAGUCGAGAAUCAUUCACAAUGGGCGAAAGCCUGAUGGUGCGACGCCGCGUGGGGGAUGAAGGCCUUCGGGUCGUAAACCCCUGUCGGUUGCGAGUAAGGCCCGGCUUACGUCGGGAUUGAUAUUAGCAACAAAGGAAGGGGCGGCUAACUCCGUGCCAGCAGCCGCGGUAAUACGGAGGCCCCAAGCGUUGUUCGGAUUUACUGGGCGUAAAGCGUGCGUAGGCGGCGAGGUAAGUUUGGCGUGAAAGCCCCGGGCCCAACCCGGGAAAUGCGCUGAAAACUACCUCACUAGAGGUGUGGAGGGGAGUCUGGAAUUCCUGGUGUAGCAGUGAAAUGCGUAGAUAUCAGGAGGAACAUCAGUGGCGAAGGCGAGACUCUGGAAACAUUCUGACGCUGAGGUACGAAGGCUAGGGUAGCGAAGAGGAUUAGAUACCCUCGUAGUCCUAGCAGUAAACGGUGUGCACUUGCUGUGGGAGGAUUCGACCCCUUCCGUGGCGAAGCUAACGCAUUAAGUGCACCGCCUGGGGAGUACGGCCGCAAGGUUAAAACU
This 873-nucleotide ribosomal RNA is filed under the name uncultured Verrucomicrobiales bacterium. Its description in RNAcentral is "SSU rRNA". It matches the Rfam family "Bacterial small subunit ribosomal RNA", at positions 21 to 901 of the family's 1533-position model. The record is from RNAcentral. Lineage: Bacteria; Pseudomonadati; Verrucomicrobiota; Verrucomicrobiia; Verrucomicrobiales.